RNAcentral lists this ribosomal RNA (429 nucleotides) under Gemmatimonadota bacterium. RNAcentral describes it as "Gemmatimonadetes bacterium partial 16S ribosomal RNA". It matches the Rfam family "Bacterial small subunit ribosomal RNA", at positions 355 to 776 of the family's 1533-position model. Lineage: Bacteria; Pseudomonadati; Gemmatimonadota. The record is from RNAcentral.
UAGGGAAUCUUCGGCAAUGGACGAAAGUCUGACCGAGCAACGCCGCGUGAGUGAAGAAGGUUUUCGGAUCGUAAAACUCUGUUGUUAGAGAAGAACAAGGACGUUAGUAACUGAACGUCCCCUGACGGUAUCUAACCAGAAAGCCACGGCUAACUACGUGCCAGCAGCCGCGGUAAUACGUAGGUGGCAAGCGUUGUCCGGAUUUAUUGGGCGUAAAGCGAGCGCAGGCGGUUUCUUAAGUCUGAUGUGAAAGCCCCCGGCUCAACCGGGGAGGGUCAUUGGAAACUGGGAGACUUGAGUGCAGAAGAGGGGAGUGGAAUUCCAUGUGUAGCGGUGAAAUGCGUAGAUAUAUGAAGGAACACCAGUGGCGAAGGCGGCUCUCUGGUCUGUAACUGACGCUGAGGCUCGAAAGCGUGGGGAGCAAACAGG